UACGGGGGGGGCAAGCGUUGUUCGGAAUUACUGGGCGUAAAGGGCUCGUAGGCGGCCAACUAAGUCGGAUGUGAAAUCCCCAGGCUUAACCUGGGAACUGCAUCCGAUACUGGAUGGCUUGAAUUCGGGAGAGGGAUGCAGAAUUCCAGGUGUAGCGGUGAAAUGCGUAGAUAUCUGGAGGAAUACCGGUGGCGAAGGCGGAUCUCUGGGCCAUUACUGACGCUGAGGAGCGAAAGCGUGGGGAGCGAACAGG
Molecule: ribosomal RNA, 253 nt
Filed under: uncultured bacterium
Lineage: Bacteria
Description: partial 16S ribosomal RNA
Rfam family: Bacterial small subunit ribosomal RNA
Source: RNAcentral